Molecule: ribosomal RNA, 466 nt
Filed under: uncultured bacterium
Lineage: Bacteria
Description: partial 16S ribosomal RNA
Rfam family: Bacterial small subunit ribosomal RNA
Source: RNAcentral
GAUGAACGCUGGCGGCGUGCUUAACACAUGCAAGUCGAACGAUGAAGCUCAGCUUGCUGGGUGGAUUAGUGGCGAACGGGUGAGUAACACGUGAGUAACCUGCCCUCAACUCUGGGAUAAGCCUGGGAAACUAGGUCUAAUACCGGAUAGGAGCGCCUACCGCACGGUGGGUGUUGGAAAGAUUUAUCGGUUUUGGAUGGACUCGCGGCCUAUCAGCUUGUUGGUGAGGUAAUGGCUCACCAAGGCGACGACGGGUAGCCGGCCUGAGAGGGUGACCGGCCACACUGGGACUGAGACACGGCCCAGACUCCUACGGGAGGCAGCAGUGGGGAAUAUUGCACAAUGGGCGAAAGCCUGAUGCAGCGACGCCGCGUGCGGGAUGACGGCCUUCGGGUUGUAAACCUCUUUCAGUAGGGAAGAAGCGAAAGUGACGGUACCUGCAGAAGAAGCACCGGCUAACUACGUG